RNAcentral lists this long non-coding RNA (96 nucleotides) under Mustela putorius furo (domestic ferret). RNAcentral's name for it is "lncRNA (ENSMPUG00000028108.1)". Lineage: Eukaryota; Metazoa; Chordata; Mammalia; Carnivora; Mustelidae. The record is from RNAcentral.
CUCUCCCAGCCAAACUGGAUGCUUCUUUCUCCAUGUUUUUUGUGCUUUUGUCAUACGUCUGCUCUAAGACAGGGGUAAACCAUAUGCUAAGAAGUU